Molecule: RNA transcript, 2223 nt
Organism: Humulus lupulus (European hop)
Lineage: Eukaryota; Viridiplantae; Streptophyta; Magnoliopsida; Rosales; Cannabaceae
Gene name: protein WHAT'S THIS FACTOR 9, mitochondrial
Exons: 4
Source: RefSeq, a predicted model, not a curated record
AAAAUAAUUUAAAGUUCAAAUUGUGAACAAAAUAAAAUUUAAAAAAAACAAAACGCCGUCUGUGGGAAUCGAACCCACGACCACAUGGUUAAAAGCCAUGCGCUCUACCGGCUGAGCUAAGACGGCAAUGUGGUCAGAGCCAACUACUUAAAUUUAUAUAUUUAUGAGAAGAUACUACCACUUGACCAAGCCCAUUGGGCCUGUGAGUUUUAUCGGCCCAUUUAGGCAAUCUUCUUAAUUUGGGCCUAGCCCAACAAAUUACAAAAACCCAAUGGACUGCUUCUUUCUUUCUUUUCUUCCCUGUUCGUCUGAGUGAGUGAGUGAGUGAGCUGAGCUGAGCUCAGCCACCAAUGGCUGCCUGGACAAAGCUUCUCCACCGCUUCAUUCCCACUCGAACCUUCGUCAACGCCAGAGUCAAAUGGGUUCGAGACCCAUACCUCGAUUUCGCCGUCGAAAGAGAAAAGAAUCUCAUACAAGCCAUAUCAUUCAAGGACCAAAUAUGCUCAGACCCUUCAAAAUCACUCCCUCUCUCUAUAGCCUCUCUCCUCAAGCCUCGCCUCGACCUCACCAUCACUUCUGCUAAGUUCUUCCAGAAAUACCCUUCUUUCUUUUCCAUCUUCCAGCCGAGUCCCGGCCUUCCUCGUCGUGUCAAACUCACCCGACAAGCUCUCUCCAUCCACAGAGAAGAGUACGCCGUUCACAGCUCCCUCCCGCAUCGAUACGACGCCGUACACCGCCUCGCCAGGCUACUCAUGCUCACCGGAGCAGCUAGAUUGCCCAUUUACGUGAUCGAGAGGCUAAAAUGGGAUUUGGGUCUUCCUCACAAUUUCGUGGUUUCGCUUGUGAUCGAUUUUCCCGAUUACUUUCAGGUUUGCGAAGUGGAUGACCCUCGUAAUGGUAGAAAGGAGCUCGCUUUGGAGUUAGUUUCGUGGAGAAAGGAACUUGCCUUGUCUGAAUUGGAGAAGAAAGCUUUAAACGACGGUUACUCAACGAAGCGCAUUGCGUUUCCGAUGUUUUUCCCAAGAGGGUUUGAUUUGGAGAAGAAGAUUAAGGACUGGGUCGAAGAGUGGCAGCGUUUGCCUUACAUUUCUCCGUACGAAAAUGGAUUCCAUCUUUCUCCGAAUAGUGAUCAAGCUGAGAAGUGGACGGUUGCGGUUCUCCACGAGUUGCUAUGGCUUAUGGUUUCGAAGAAGACUGAUAGAGAUAACUUGUUUUGCUUAGGAGAGUAUUUGGGGUUUGGGUCGAUGAUGUUUAAGAAGGCUCUGGUGCAUCACCCGGGUAUUUUUUAUCUUUCGAACAAGAUCAGAACACAGACUGUGGUGCUUAGAGAGGCUUAUAGAAAGGAUUUCUUGCUUGAGAAGCACCCAUUGAUGGGCAUUAGAUAUCGUUACAUACAUCUCUUGAAUAAGGUUCCCAUGAUGAUACGUAAACCUGCUAUUGGUUCGGCUCCUGGAAGCAAACCACAUGACACUACAGUUGCCAAUGGAGUUGGCCGUAAUCUAAGUUUUGAAGGAACUAACUCAUAGUUAUACCAUGGUGGUUGUGCUUGAUAAUCAACUAUCUCAAGACGAAGUUAUUGACUUUGGGAGCAGUUUCAUUGCAGCAUUGUACAGAUAAUCAAUCUUAAUGGCACAGAGAAGAUGUUCAAACUGGUCUAGUGGGAUCCCUAGAACACAGCCUCUGCACCAAGUUGGAUGUUGGGUCCAAAAUCUAAGCUGUGAAGUCAACAGCUUGCUGAGAAGGCAGACCAUUGCAAAAACAUAGAUGGGCUUAGUUCUAAAGCUAUUUGUUUGUUCAGCUGAAUCCCAUGUUUGACAUGGCUCUUGUUUUCGCAUAAUCAUGGCUCGAUCGACGAAAAUACAUCGAAACAGCUUCACCCCAGAAGGGCAAUGGUGUUUUCUUUUUCUCUGAAUUGAUUUUUUUAAAAAUUUUAAUUGAAGUUGGAUGUGAGGGUUAUUUUGGGAAGUUGAAGUGUAAUGUUUAUGCAAAAUUGUUUGAUUAGUCUUUAAUAAGUUCUUUGAUUAGUCUCAAUUCAAAGCUAAGGCCCUAUUGAUUUCUUCUAUAAGAUCUAUAGGAAUUUGGAUAGAUUGAGUAAAAGAUAGACAUUGAAGUGUAGUGUUAUGCAAAAGAAAAAAAAAGAAAAAAAAAAGAGAAAUUUGUGAGAUGUUGAGUUGAGACCAACUAAAUUUCAUGAUUACUUGGGCAAGUUUUAGUUACUUCUAU